GGCGGACGGGUGAGUAAUACUUAGGAAUCUGCCCAUUAGUGGGGGACAACUCGGGGAAACUCGAGCUAAUACCGCAUACGCCCUACGGGGGAAAGUGGAGGAUCUUCGGACUUCACGCUAUUGGAUGAGCCUAAGCCGGAUUAGCUUGUUGGUGGGGUAACGGCCCACCAAGGCAACGAUCCGUAGCUGGUCUGAGAGGACGAUCAGCCACACUGGGACUGAGACACGGCCCAG
RNAcentral lists this ribosomal RNA (234 nucleotides) under uncultured bacterium. RNAcentral's name for it is "partial 16S ribosomal RNA". It matches the Rfam family "Bacterial small subunit ribosomal RNA", at positions 97 to 334 of the family's 1533-position model. The record is from RNAcentral.